UACGUAGGUCCCGAGCGUUGUCCGGAUUUAUUGGGCGCAAAGCGAGCGCAGGUGGUUUAUUAAGUCUGGUGUAAAAGGCAGUGGCUCAACCAUUGUACGCAUUGGAAACUGGUAGACUUGAGUGCAGGAGAGGAGAGUGGAAUUCCAUGUGUAGCGGUGAAAUGCGUAGAUAUAUGGAGGAACACCGGUGGCGAAAGCGGCUCUCUGGCCUGUAACUGACACUGAGGCUCGAAAGCGUGGGGAGCAAACAGG
This 252-nucleotide ribosomal RNA is filed under the name uncultured bacterium. RNAcentral describes it as "partial 16S ribosomal RNA". It matches the Rfam family "Bacterial small subunit ribosomal RNA", at positions 524 to 776 of the family's 1533-position model. The record is from RNAcentral.